UACAGAGGUCUCAAGCGUUGUUCGGAUUCAUUGGGCGUAAAGGGUGCGUAGGUGGCAGGGUAAGUCGGAUGUGAAAGCCCUCGGCUCAACUGGAGGAAGUGCACCCGAAACUGGCGAGCUUGAGUACGAAAGAGGAUCGCGGAAUUCCCGGUGUAGAGGUGAAAUUCGUAGAUAUCGGGAGGAACACCGGGUGCGAAGGCGGCGAUCUGGGUCGAUACUGACGCUGAGGCGCGAAGGCUAGGGAGCAAACAGG
RNAcentral lists this ribosomal RNA (253 nucleotides) under uncultured bacterium. RNAcentral describes it as "partial 16S ribosomal RNA". It matches the Rfam family "Bacterial small subunit ribosomal RNA", at positions 524 to 776 of the family's 1533-position model. The record is from RNAcentral.